Molecule: long non-coding RNA, 495 nt
Filed under: Columba livia (rock pigeon)
Lineage: Eukaryota; Metazoa; Chordata; Aves; Columbiformes; Columbidae
Description: partial uncharacterized LOC106146050, transcript variant X2
Rfam family: mir-122 microRNA precursor family (bases 334-406)
Source: RNAcentral
CAGAGAUGCGCUCCGAAGGGACACAGAAGACUGAGCUGAGAGCUUUCUUCCGUUCUGUAGCCUGUCUGACUAAAGGAUCCCAUAAAGGGCGAGAGAAAGGUGUCCACUGGAACCAGAGGCUUCCAACCACUGCCGACGGCUGCUGGGAACUCGUAAAAGCAAGCCACGACCGCCAAGACCUGAACGCAGUGAUAUUCAGCACAGUGUCGUGCAAGAGAACCUCAGAUCCGACGAGCCCCGACGACACACCAGAGGGUCAUUUGGCAGUUGUGUCAGAUGACCUCUGAAGUCCGUGCUGAAGUCUGCGACGUGUAUAUAUUACUCUGCUGCUGCCCGAGCUGUGGAGUGUGACAAUGGUGUUUGUGUCCUGGCUAUCAAACGCCAUUAUCACACUAAAUAGCUACUGGUAGACAAGACAUCAAUUCAGAAAAGUAUGUCAACUGUAGCAAUACAUCUUCCCUUCAUGCUGAGGAAUAAAUAGAUUUUUUACAUAUA